GCGAAAGUAGCUCAGGGGUAGAGCAUCACCUUGCCAAGGUGGAGGUCGAGGGUUCGAAUCCCUUUUUUCGCUCAA
Molecule: transfer RNA, 75 nt
Filed under: Aggregatimonas sangjinii
Lineage: Bacteria; Pseudomonadati; Bacteroidota; Flavobacteriia; Flavobacteriales; Flavobacteriaceae
Description: tRNA-Gly
Rfam family: tRNA
About the family: Transfer RNA (tRNA) molecules are approximately 80 nucleotides in length. Their secondary structure includes four short double-helical elements and three loops (D, anti-codon, and T loops).
Source: RNAcentral